This 468-nucleotide ribosomal RNA is filed under the name uncultured bacterium. RNAcentral describes it as "partial 16S ribosomal RNA". It matches the Rfam family "Bacterial small subunit ribosomal RNA", at positions 28 to 507 of the family's 1533-position model. The record is from RNAcentral.
GACGAACGCUGGCGGCGUGCUUAACACAUGCAAGUCGAACGGAAAGGCCCUGCUUUUGUGGGGUGCUCGAGUGGCGAACGGGUGAGUAACACGUGAGUAACCUGCCCUUGACUUUGGGAUAACUUCAGGAAACUGGGGCUAAUACCGGAUAGGAGCUCCUGCUGCAUGGUGUGGGUUGGAAAGUUUCGGCGGUUGGGGAUGGACUCGCGGCUUAUCCGCUUGUUGGUGGGGUAGUGGCUUACCAAGGCUUUGACGGGUAGCCGGCAUGAGAGGGUGACCGGCGACAUGGGGACUGAGAUACGGACCAGACUCGUACGGGAGGCAGCAGUGGGGAAUAUUGCACAAUGAGGGGAAGUCUGAGGCAGCAACGCCGCGUGCGGGAUGACGGCCUUCGGGUUGUAAACCGAUUUGGCAUGAGACGAAGAGUGAGUGACGGUAAUGGGUAAAGAAGCAACGGCUAACUACGUG